CGGGGUAUGGCGCAGGUUGGUAGCGCGUCCGCUUUGGGAGCGGAAGACCGAAGCGUCAAAUCCGGCUACCCCGA
This 74-nucleotide transfer RNA is filed under the name Pedococcus cremeus. RNAcentral's name for it is "Phycicoccus sp. V2M29 tRNA". It matches the Rfam family "tRNA". Rfam says of the family: Transfer RNA (tRNA) molecules are approximately 80 nucleotides in length. Lineage: Bacteria; Bacillati; Actinomycetota; Actinomycetes; Micrococcales; Intrasporangiaceae. The record is from Rfam by way of RNAcentral.